RNAcentral lists this ribosomal RNA (253 nucleotides) under uncultured bacterium. Its description in RNAcentral is "partial 16S ribosomal RNA". It matches the Rfam family "Bacterial small subunit ribosomal RNA", at positions 524 to 776 of the family's 1533-position model. The record is from RNAcentral.
UACAGAGGGUGCGAGCGUUAAUCGGAAUUACUGGGCGUAAAGCGCGCGUAGGCGGCCACUUAAGUCGGAUGUGAAAGCCCCUGGCUCAACUGGGGAAGUGCACCCGAAACUGAAUGGCUUGAGUGCGAAAGAGGGUCGCGGAAUUCCCGGUGUAGAGGUGAAAUUCGUAGAUAUCGAGAGGAACACCGGUGGCGAAGGCGGCCUUCUGGACAGCAACUGACGCUGAGACGCGAAAGCGUGGGGAGCAAACCGG